GGGGCCGUAGUCUAGCCUGGCUAGGAUGCCGGCCUGGGGGGACACCCCGCUAGCCAGGCCUGGUGUCACAGAGCGCCGGUGAUCCCGGGUUCAAAUCCCGGCGGCCCCA
This 109-nucleotide transfer RNA is filed under the name Staphylothermus marinus F1. It matches the Rfam family "tRNA". Rfam says of the family: Transfer RNA (tRNA) molecules are approximately 80 nucleotides in length. Their secondary structure includes four short double-helical elements and three loops (D, anti-codon, and T loops). Further hydrogen bonds mediate the characteristic L-shaped molecular structure. tRNAs have two regions of fundamental functional importance: the anti-codon, which is responsible for specific mRNA codon recognition, and the 3' end, to which the tRNAs corresponding amino acid is attached (by aminoacyl-tRNA synthetases). tRNAs cope with the degeneracy of the genetic code in two manners: having more than one tRNA (with a specific anti-codon) for a particular amino acid; and 'wobble' base-pairing, i.e. permitting non-standard base-pairing at the 3rd anti-codon position. The record is from Rfam by way of RNAcentral. Lineage: Archaea; Thermoproteati; Thermoproteota; Thermoprotei; Desulfurococcales; Desulfurococcaceae.